This 74-nucleotide transfer RNA is filed under the name Candidatus Collierbacteria bacterium. RNAcentral describes it as "tRNA-Arg". It matches the Rfam family "tRNA". Rfam says of the family: Transfer RNA (tRNA) molecules are approximately 80 nucleotides in length. Their secondary structure includes four short double-helical elements and three loops (D, anti-codon, and T loops). The record is from RNAcentral. Lineage: Bacteria; Candidatus Collieribacteriota.
GCACCUGUAUCUCAACUGGAUAGAGUACUUCCCUCCGAAGGAAGCUGUUGUGAGUUCGAAUCUCACCAGGUGCA